AGUGAACGCUGGCGGCGUGCCUAAUACAUGCAAGUCGAACGGAGUGGCGCACGGGUGAGUAAUGUAUAGCUAAUCUGCCCUACACUAGAGGACAACAGUUGGAAACGGCUGCUAAUACACGAUAGUGUAGGAUGAGGCUAUAUUGUAUCAGCUAGUUGGUGAGGUAAUGGCUCACCAAGGCUAUGACGCAUAACUGGUCUGAGAGGAUGAUCAGUAUCGCUGUAACUGAGUCGCGGUCGCGACUCCUUCGGGAGGCGGCAGUAGGGAAUAUUGCUCCAUGGGGGCAACCCUGAAUCGGCAACGCCGCGUGGAGGAUGACACUUUUCGGGGCGUAAACUCCUUUUAUUAGGGACGCGUUACCUAACGAAUAAGGACCGGCUAACUCCGUGCCAGCCGCCGCGGUAAUAC
This 408-nucleotide ribosomal RNA is filed under the name uncultured bacterium. Its description in RNAcentral is "partial 16S ribosomal RNA". It matches the Rfam family "Bacterial small subunit ribosomal RNA", at positions 29 to 526 of the family's 1533-position model. The record is from RNAcentral.